CAAUAGCGUAUAUUAAAGUUGUUGCAGUUAAAAAGCUCGUAGUUGGAUUUCUGGUGGGAGCGAUCGGUCUGGCGCUUAGCGCGAGUACUUGCAUCGUCUCCGGCCAUCCUUGGGGAGAGUCUGUCUGGCAUUAAGUUGUCGGGCAGAGGAUCCUCAUCGUUUACUGUGAAAAAAUUAGAGUGUUCAAAGCAGGCUUAUGCCGUUGAAUAUAUUAGCAUGGAAUAAUAAGAUAGGACUUUGGUACUAUUUUGUAGGUUUGCGCACCAAAGUAAUGAUUAAUAGGGACAGUUGGGGGUAUUCGUAUUCCGUUGUCAGAGGUGAAAUUCUUGGAUUUACGGAAGACGAACUACUGCGAAAGCAUUUACCAAGGAUGUUUUCAUUAA
RNAcentral lists this ribosomal RNA (383 nucleotides) under uncultured eukaryote. RNAcentral's name for it is "partial 18S ribosomal RNA". It matches the Rfam family "Eukaryotic small subunit ribosomal RNA", at positions 592 to 976 of the family's 1831-position model. The record is from RNAcentral.